CAAUUCAUUUACUACUAACUAGUUAAGACUAUUUGACCAAGGAUUGCAACCAUAUUCCUCUUGUUUGGCAAAUCUCCUGGAUUGUCCUGGUUUUUGAUCUUGUGUGGGUGCCAUGUAAAUAUUCCUGAAGCCCGAUUAUCUUUUUAUCACUCACAAAUAUCAAAUAUUGCACUUCCAGGCUGUUCCGCAGCAGAGGGCGAACAUCACAUUGUUUCUCCAAAAGAAGAGAAGAGAAGAAAAUAGAAAUAUACAGCCGUCAGCUGCAUCUGCUUUAUGCCCUCGAGUCAAAUAUAGUUAAUGAUAC
Molecule: small RNA, 304 nt
Filed under: Histoplasma capsulatum
Lineage: Eukaryota; Fungi; Ascomycota; Eurotiomycetes; Onygenales; Ajellomycetaceae
Also listed under: 1 other name
Description: hypothetical RNA
Source: RNAcentral